UACGGAGGGUGCGAGCGUUGUCCGGAUUUAUUGGGUUUAAAGGGUGCGUAGGCGGCUGCUUAAGUCAGUGGUAAAAGGCACGGGCUCAACCCGAUGUAAGCCAUUGAUACUGGGCAGCUUGAGUUCUCUGAGAGUACAUGGAAUUGAUGGUGUAGCGGUGAAAUGCAUAGAUACCAUCAGGAACACCGAUAGCGAAGGCAUUGUACUUUGGAGCGACUGACGCUGAUGCACGAAAGCGUGGGUAGCGAACAGG
RNAcentral lists this ribosomal RNA (253 nucleotides) under uncultured bacterium. RNAcentral's name for it is "partial 16S ribosomal RNA". It matches the Rfam family "Bacterial small subunit ribosomal RNA", at positions 524 to 776 of the family's 1533-position model. The record is from RNAcentral. RNAcentral also lists the same sequence under 1 other name.